Molecule: long non-coding RNA, 1537 nt
Filed under: Vulpes vulpes (red fox)
Lineage: Eukaryota; Metazoa; Chordata; Mammalia; Carnivora; Canidae
Description: lncRNA (ENSVVUG00000016114.1)
Source: RNAcentral
UUCAUUUCUUUCCACUUCUCCGUAUAUGUAUCUGUGAAAAAUAUAAAGUUAAUAUGUAAACAGAAUAUCUGCAUUAGUUAGGUUCCAAGCGCACCAAAUUAGGUAAUUUGGUGGAGAAUUUAGUAAAGGUAUUACUUACAAAAUUGUGGACAGGGGUUAAGAGGCAUCAUGCAGGAUCCUAAGGCAAGCAAAAGCCAGAAAUGAUUACCACCUGGGGCCUGAGACUGUGAAGGGAAGCUACGUGGAGAGGAAGCUUUGAUUUGGGCAGAGGAAUGCAAUCAAUCCCUGUAAGCUGGUGAGAGAGAGCUGAGGGAGUAAGUGCUCUCUAAUGUCACCAUGUCCUUGACUUUGGGAGUCCUGCUAACAAUGUCCCCAUUGUCCAGCAACUAGAAGAUGGAGGGUUGGUCCCUUCAGGUCCCAUCAAGGUCCCAGUGCAUACACAGCACAAGACUAUUUCCACAUGUUGAAAGUGAUGGCAACACGAGCCCAACAAGUUUCAACUUGAGAUCCAGAGAGAAGAGCGAGUCUUUCCUUAUAGCACCAAUAGAAAAACCGAAAUGGACUCUAACUGGCCCACCCUCAGUCACCUGCUUUGGAUAUGAGUGGGGCGCAGGAAGAAGGAGCAGAUAUUAUGAUUGACAUCCCACCAGACCUACAAGAAAUGGUGAAGGAUUUCCCCCAGAAACCAGAAAAGGGGCUAUGAAACAUGCUGAGCAGAGAAAAAUAGUAACUAUCACAGUCCAUUCUGCUUGCUGAUUAGCAAAAGGAUAUUGGAGAUAGAAAAAUAGAAUCUAUUUCUAAUAUACAACUAGACACAUGAUAUAUUAAUUAUAUACUUCUAUCUUAUCAAAGAGCCGACAUACAAAAUCAGGACACUUUCCCUCCUCUCUUUUGAAUUAAAAAGUUAGAACAAUAGCCCAAGAUAUAGUCUCUCUGUCAAAUACCUCUUGUUAUUUAUAGGUAUCCCAUGACAAAUAUCAAAUUUAUAGUUAAUAUGGUUACUUAUGCAAAAACUAAUCAUAUGAAAGCCUCUCACCUUAAAAAAAAAAAAAGUAAAGCUAAGUAUUGGGUUUAGGAAAGUUCUAUGAAAUUGUCUGGUUCAUAUUUUUCAUUUUGCAGAUAAUGGAACUGAAGGCCAAAGAAGUGAAGCUGCCUGGUUCAAUUAUGCAGCUUUUUAUUAAAUGAAUCCUGGGUUAAAAUUCAAGUUUCCUUUCAGGUAGGGAAGUAUUUUCCCCCUUGUACAUCAUUGCUCAAGUUUUUUAGAUGUUCCUCACGUUGUAAAAGAUAUAGAAGCAAACAGACAAUUGUCAACUGAAAAGAGAAUUUAUUGGAUCUGUCAAUCAUUCAAAAAAAUUUUAAAUUUUUAUGCAACAAGUUUUAACAGAUAUUCUCCCCUAACCAUAUUUUUGAAUAUACAAUCCUGUCAUAUGUGGAAAAAAAUGGUGACUUGUAUGAACCAAGGUUCAAACUGUGUGUUAAAUGCUUGUAAAAAUAAUUACCACAUGACAUUAAAGUGACAUACAUGCAUUGUGAGGAA